UGGGGAAUAUUGCACAAUGGGGGAAACCCUGAUGCAGCGACGCCGCGUGAACGAAGAAGGUAUUCGUAUCGUAAAGUUCUGUCCUAUGGGAAGAUAAUGACAGUACCAUAGAAGAAAGCUCCGGCUAAAUACGUGCCAGCAGCCGCGGUAAUACGUAUGGAGCGAGCGUUGUCCGGAAUUAUUGGGCGUAAAGGGUACGCAGGCGGUUUAAUAAGUCGAAUGUUAAAGAUCGGGGCUCAACCCCGUAAAGCAUUGGAAACUGAUAAACUUGAGUAGUGGAGAGGAAAGUGGAAUUCCUAGUGUAGUGGUGAAAUACGUAGAUAUUAGGAGGAAUACCAGUAGCGAAGGCGACUUUCUGGACACAAACUGACGCUGAGGUACGAAAGCGUGGGGAGCAAACAGGAUUAGAUACCUUGGUAGUCCACGCCGUAAACGAUGAAUGCUAGGUGUUGGGUGUCAAAGCUCGGUGCCGAAGUUAACACAUUAAGCAUUCCGCCUGGGGAGUACGCACGCAAGUGUG
Molecule: ribosomal RNA, 520 nt
Filed under: uncultured bacterium
Lineage: Bacteria
Description: bacterial SSU rRNA
Rfam family: Bacterial small subunit ribosomal RNA
Source: RNAcentral